RNAcentral lists this ribosomal RNA (252 nucleotides) under uncultured bacterium. RNAcentral describes it as "partial 16S ribosomal RNA". It matches the Rfam family "Bacterial small subunit ribosomal RNA", at positions 109 to 353 of the family's 1533-position model. The record is from RNAcentral.
AGUAACGCGUAGGUAACCUGCCUUGUAGCGGGGGAUAACUAUUGGAAACGAUAGCUAAUACCGCAUAACAAUGGAUGACCCAUGUCAUUUAUUUUGAAAGGGGCAAAUGCUCCACUACAAGAUGGACCUGCGUUGUAUUAGCUAGUAGGUGAGGUAACGGCUCACCUAGGCGACGAUACAUAGCCGACCUGAGAGGGUGAUCGGCCACACUGGGACUGAGACACGGCCCAGACUCCUACGGGAGGCAGCAUG